This is a long non-coding RNA of Bubalus bubalis (water buffalo), 2872 nucleotides long. RefSeq lists it as uncharacterized. Lineage: Eukaryota; Metazoa; Chordata; Mammalia; Artiodactyla; Bovidae. The record is from RefSeq and is a predicted model, not a curated record. The transcript has 3 exons.
UUGAAUUAAAAUAUAUCGUACAUUUAUUUGUUUAUGUGCCAGAACACGCAGUGUGAGCUCUGUGACCUGAGGCUAAGAAUCUCAAGGCUCCAUCCUCACAGACUAGAUCUGAAUUUCAGCUUUGCCACUGUGACAGGGUUAAACAAUGUGGUACCAGCUCUUGGCCUGGUAAACUGUACGACCUACUAAUCCCUGGAGAAAGAAUUUUCCCCAAGGGUCUGUGAGCUGGGCUGCCCCCCUGGACAGCAGAGUGACACUUCACUGUGAAACUGAGGGCAUCACGCCAGCUCUGUCCCUCCUGUGAUACACAUGGCGUGGUGCAGGUAUCAUUUGUAUUGAUCUGACACUUAAAACAUGACUGCUUGUCGGUUUAUUUUUCUGGUUACUAAUGAUUGUGCAUCUCUUUGUGAGCUUAUUUCUUAUUGCAUGUUGUCUGUAAGCUGUUUUUUUUCCCUAACACUUCACCCAUUUUUCUAUUGGGGCUGCCAUCUUUUCCUUAUUGACUCAUAAAAGUUCCUUGUAUUUUUGAAAUAUUAAUCCCUUGCCAUAUUUUAGAUAUCUUUUCCCAUUCUAGAUAUCUUUUCCCAUUCUCUAUCUACAACUAUAUUCUUAUUGUUGAUGUAGUCAAAUUCACCACUUCCUGAUUUGGGGUUUGUGCCUUUGAAAUCUAAGAAAUUCUACAACAUCUCUAGAUCAUAAAUAUAUUUUUUAUAUUAUUAUUAACUUUAUAGUUUAUCUUCACAUUUAUGUAUGUAAUACUUCUAGUGUUGACUUAUGUAUGUGUAUUAGGUAAGGGUCUAAUUUUCUAGGCAAGAAUACUGGAGUGGGUUGCCAUUCCUUUCUCCAGAGAAUCUUCCCAACCCAGGGAUCAAAUUCUUUACCAUCUGAGCCAUCAGGAAAGCCCUGUCAGGUAAGGGCCCAGCUUUAUUUUUCUCUUUCCAAAACUAUUAAGUCAUCCUAUCUUCAGUGAUUUGUGAUGUCUUCUCGAUCAUACACUAACGUCCUCUACAUGUGGCCCUAGCUCUCACUCUCCAUUCUGUCCCAUUGGUCAAUGUGUCUUUAGUUGAGCAAAUACCAUUUUUAUUACUGUAUUUUGCUGCCUGGUAUAGUAAGCCCCUCUUGUUAAUACUCUCCUUUUUUGAGGCUGAGUUUCUAUGCAUGGACUUUUAUUUCUCUAUAUGAAUUUUGAAGUAAUCACCUUAUGUUCCAGAAAAAUUCAGCUGAGAUUUUCAGUGUUAAAUGUGUGAAUUAAUCUGGGGUUGAAUCAACAUCCUUAAUGUUAAGUCAUCCCAUCAGUGAGCUAGAAACUUCUCUCCAUGUUUGAAUCAUACUUCAAGGUGUUUGCUAGAGGUCUGACACCUUCUCCACUGGAAUUCUAUGUAUUACUGGUGAAAGUAAUUGCUAGGAAUUUUAUAGUUUUGCUGUAACUAUGAAUAGUUUAUUGUUUUGGUCAUGUUUUCUAUUUGGGUAUUUCUACUAUGGAAAAACCUGUUGGUUUUUGGAUCGAAUGUGAGCUAUCUUAUUAAAUUUCUUAAUUAAUUGUAAUAAUCUGUUGAUUUUGUGGCUUGGGGAGUUUAUGAUUAUACUAAUGAAAUUUUUUUUACAUUUCUUAAAAAAUUUAUUUAUUUUUUAAUUGAAAGAUAAUUGCUUUACAGAAUUUUGUUGCUUUCUAUCAAACCUCAACAUGAAUCAGCCAUAGGAAUACACAUGAUGACAGUUUUAUCUCUACUUUUCCAAUCUUUAUAUCUUUUCUUUCUUUCUAGUUACUAUGGCAUUGGUCAGGGCUCCCAGAACUAUGUUAGACAAUAGUGGUGACAGUGGGCAUUCUUUGCUCAUUCCUGAUCCUUCAAGUGAUGGGCUAAAAGUUUUUCCAUUAUAAAAUAUGUGAAUUUUAUGAAAUUAAUUUUAUUUUAAUUUUAUUUCAUCUUAAUUUUAUAAAAUUAAGAAAGUUCCAUUUGAAAUGUAAUUUUCUAAAGCAUUUUUUCUCUCUUUUAAAAAAUUAUUCUUACUGUUGAUUUAUAAUGUUUGUUAGUUUCUGCUAUACAGCAAAGUGUAUCAACAAGAUAUAUAUCCACUAUUUUUUACAUUCUUUCCCUGUAUAGAUCACUGCAGAGUAUUAAGAAGAGUUCCCUCUGCUAUACAGUAAGUCCUUAUUAAUGAUAUAUUUUAUAUAUAGUAUUAUGUGUUUGUGAAUCCCAGGCUCCCAAUUUAUUCCUCCUCACCCCCUGCUUUAUCCCCUGGACACUACAAGGUUUUUUCCCUACAUCUGUGAAAUCUAUCUUAAAGGAUUUUUUAAAAGAAACAUAACUUCAGCUUUAUCACACUCUUUUUUGAUCGAUUAAUAUAAUAUUAUUUUUCUCCUUUAGGCUAAUAAUGUGAUGAAUUACAUUAAUUGUAGUCAUAAUGCUGACCAAUUCUUGCAUUCCAACAGGAAAGCUCACUCAGUUAUGAAGGAUUUUUAAUGCUCAUAUUUGGUUUGGUAAUACUAUGCUCUGUUUGAAUUGUUUGCACCUUUAGAGGUGAAAUGGGACUGUUGUUUUCUUGUAUUGCCCAUCUCUUACUUUAGAAUCAAGUUACUCUACUUCUUUAAAAUGAGCUGUACAUCUCUACUCUUGAUUAGUUUUCUACACCAUCCUGUGUAACAUACUAUUAACUGUCCCCUGAGAUUUUACCAGACUGUCCUGGAAAACCACUGGGCUUAGUAGGGGAUACUGGGGAGAAGAGAGCUGUGAUAGCCACUUUUGCUUAUUUAAUACUUAACUAACUUCCUAAACACUGGGCUGGAAGAGGCACAAGCUGGAAUCAAGAUUGCCGGGAAAAAUAUCAAUAACCUCAGAUAUGCAGAUGACACAACCCUUAUGGCAGAAAGUGA